This 3701-nucleotide long non-coding RNA is filed under the name Sus scrofa (pig). RNAcentral's name for it is "lncRNA (ENSSSCG00000055675.1)". Lineage: Eukaryota; Metazoa; Chordata; Mammalia; Artiodactyla; Suidae. The record is from RNAcentral.
AGUUUCUGAUGUACAGCAAAGUGAUUCAGAUAUAUAUAUGUAUAUUCUUUUUUAGAUUUUUUUCAAAGUAUAUGUUAUUAUAGGAUAUUGAAAAUCACUGUGCUAUAUAGUAGGACCUUGUUAUUUAUCUAUUUUACAUGUAGUAGUGUAUAUCUGUUAACCCAAGCUCCUAAUUUAUCUGUCUCUCCAAGGCUAUACUGUUGAACAGAGUGAAAUUACAUUGAUAUAUUAACUACAAUGUGGGAGGCAUUUUUUUUUGACACUUUAGAAAAACCUUUUCUUCCUAAAGUAAUUUUCAAAGGUUGCAUGACCUUACACAUUUUAAAAUAGCUUCUGUUUUCUAUCCUGUUGCUACUAUGCACUAUGCAAGAUGUGGUGCAACAUUAUUCACUUUAUUUUGAAUUUGUUGCAUGUGCCCAUGGAGACAUUUACUAGUUUCUACUCUCAAAAACUUCCAAAAGAGAUUAUGUUUACCCUUUUAAUAGAGAAAGUGAAAAAGUAGUGUUCAGUUAACUCAGGUGAUUGUAUAGAUAUGUUUUCUUUUGGGAGGGGAAAAUUAGAUAAGCCUCACAAUAAGUAGAUUUAUAUAUUUUUUUAUUUUUAAUUAAUUUGGGAAAAUGGAAUUAAUCAUUUUGUAUGCUAAUAGAGGUCACAGAGCAGUCAAUACCAAUGUCUGAUGAUUCACACCAGUCCUUUCAUUCUGUAACCUUUUAAAAGACAUUUAUUAACUUUUGCAGGAUAUUUUUCUAUGGGAUGUGAGAAAGGUCUGUCAUAUGGAACAAACUCAAAGAAAGAUAUUAACUUGUGUGGGAUUGAACAGCACAAAAUCAAUGGUCCAUUACUCUGAAUGGCAGCUGCAGGUCAGCAAAUAACUAUAAUGAAGAAAUGAUCUUUUUAUGAUAAUAGGAUCCUAUAAGUCUUAAAAAGCUGAUUCAGCAAUCACAUGGAUCAUGUGCCAGCUAAACUGAAAAAUAGAAGUUGUAAAAAAGUGAAAAAUUGAAGCAUGGUAUAACCACAAUUUGGAAUACCAUAGAGUCAUUAAAAAUUGUAAUAUUGAAGGAUUCUGUGAAUAUAGGAACUUACAAUAUGGUGGCAGGUAAAUAGACUACAUGAUCGUUUGUAUAAUAUGGUAUAGUUUUAAAAAUAUAUAUCUCUUAUUUGCACAUAAAAAUAUUGAGAGCUUAUGCUUGAGAGAUGGUACAUUUCUUAAGGCCAUUGUAGUAACUUUACUAAAUUUUACUGAGUCAGUUGUUGGCUGGGAGGUAAUCAGAGUGGUGAGGAGCUAUUCCACGUAGUCUUUCAAGGAUUCAGGCUGACGUGGUUUCCACCAUCUUUACCUCAGAGUUUCCAGUGUACCCUGGACAUUGAUAGUCAAUUGGCAGAUGAGAAAAGAGGGAAAGUGGGAGAUCUCUGGAGAGUUUUAUGGGCCAGACUAAGAGUGGAGCAAAUAUAUCUCCCACGUUGGCCAGAACUCAGUGCUAUGGCUUAUCUAAUUGUAAUGAGAAUAGGAAGUGUGGUUUGCCUGUAUGCCCAGGAGAAUAACAGUUUUGAUAUAUAUAGAGCAGUUUCUGUCUCAGGUAAGAUCCUGGGUAAUACAUAGAGUCAUCCUCAUGCUUUAUUCUGUUUUCAAGUGAUCACUGGAUUUCCAUGUUGUCUCCGCUUAAGUCAGAGAGCAACAUAUGUAAUGUUAUCACUUUAUUUUGUACCAAUUCUCAUAACUGUUGCCACCACCAGAACUUGAGGCAAGAAGCAGGGUCCUAUAUGAAGGGACUAAGGUAGACUCUACCUAGAAUCAGCUUUUUAAUAUCACAUUGGCCCACUCACACUCUGUUGUGUCAACUAUUAUAUCAUUGUGAGUCAGUCUGGACACCUUACCAUUAAUUCCUUCAGCAUUGUAAACUGCAAACCGUCAUAAUGAAUGACCACAAAAAUAAAAUAGCGAAUUACAGCCACACAAAUUUUAUGUACUUGGAAUUUAGUGCAUAGCAGAUGCUAGAGGAAUGGUCCUUGACUUACUGAUAGUCUAUAUUUUUCAGAGUGGUGUUCUUUCUUGUCUAUAAGCUGAUGAACCCCUAGAAGGCAGAGACAGUCCCUCAUUCUAUAAAUCUCUGUUGGUAUGUGUUAGUUUAAUUAGUUUUUAGUCUCCUUCUGCCAUAUGAUGGGGAAUAUACCAGCUAAUGUGGUUAAGGCCAAGUGGGAAGAUCUCUGGGUUUAGAGGUAGAAGCUAAGCUUGGGAAAGAGUCAGCUUUCUGACAGGUCCAUGAACACAGUGGCCUUCACUAAAUCUUUUUUGGGUAAUUUAGGCAAGUAAUUUCCCUGUUCAUGACUUCUCUGUCUAUAAAAUGAAGAUAAUACUUGCACCUGUUCUAUCUCUGGUAUCCCCGUGAAGAUCAAAGUAUUCUCAGUUUUUACUUAUAAAUAUAAAGGAUGUAUGUGACCUAUUCAGACUUGAGAAAUAUGGGCUUCUACUGUAUUCAAUAAAUUCUGCUGGGUAGUCUUCAUUUAUCUUUCUAGAUCCAUUCUUUAGUCUUCUCCAUUCUUCUCUGUUAACUACGAGGCUGAUCUCUAUGUAUUAUUAUUAGCAAGGCACUCCUGACCUAUGGAUUAAGCCAAAGGGAAGUACCAACAAAAGAGUCAAUGGCUGGAAGAAAGAGAAUUUGGAGUAUUUACUCCUGAGCUUCUUUUUUGCAGGGUUGUGGGCUAACAGUGGUUGUGUUCUUCUACCAAAGGCCAUAAUUCUAGCCUGGUAGGUGUCUCCUAUAGUAACAGCUUUUCCCAGGUUCCUGUAAUGGUUUUUCUUCCUUGCUCUUUGAAGCCUAGCGGUGGUAGUAUCUGGAUUGCUAACCUUUGGGUGUUUUUUUAUUUAUUUUUUUUUAUUUUUGCCUUUUCUAGGGCCACUCCCAUGGCAUAUGGAGGUUCCCAGGCUAGAGGUCUAAUCGGAGCUGUAGUCGCCAGCCUGCACCAGAGCCACAGCAACUUGGGAUCCAAGCUGCAUCUGCGACCUACACCACAGCUCACAGCAACGCUGGAUCCUUAACCCACUGAGCAAGGCCAGGGAUCGAACCUGCAACCUUAUGGUCUGUAGUCAGAUUUGUUAACCACUGCGCCAUGAUGGGAACUCCCUUUUGGGUGUUUUUAUAACUCCUUAUGGCUGCCUUUACCAUGCCCACACUUUUGUAAGUGGACCUUCAUUAAACUGAGGUUGCCAAGGGGGAGGGGAAAGAAGUGGGAUAGACAGAGAGUUUGGGUAGAUGCAAACUAUUGCAUUUGGAAUGGAUAAGCAAUAAGAUUCUACUGUUUAGCACAGGGAACUGUAUCCAGUCUCUUGGGAUAGAACAUGAAGAAGACAGUAUGAGAAAAAAACGUUUAUGUAUGUAUGACUUGGUCACUGUGCUGUACAGCAGAAAUUGAUGCAGCACUAAAAAUCAACUAUAUGCUAAUAAAAAUAAAAAUAAAAAUACAAAAAAAUAAAAUAAGGAGUUCUUGUUGUGGCUCACCAGGUUAAGAAUCCAGCUAGUAUCCUUGAAGAUGCAGGUUCCAUACUUGGCCCCACUCAGUGGGUUAAGGACCUGGUGUUGCCGUGAGCUGACGCAUAGGUCACAGACAAGGCUCGGAUCUGGUGUUGCUGUGGCUGUGCCAUAGGCUGGCAGCUGCAAUUCCAAUUGGACCCCUAGCCUGGGAACUUCCAUAUGCUGCAGGUG